This 501-nucleotide ribosomal RNA is filed under the name uncultured bacterium. RNAcentral's name for it is "partial 16S ribosomal RNA". It matches the Rfam family "Bacterial small subunit ribosomal RNA", at positions 30 to 523 of the family's 1533-position model. The record is from RNAcentral.
AUUGAACGCUGGCGGCAGGCUUAACACAUGCAAGUCGAGCGGGGGAAGGUAGCUUGCUACUGGACCUAGCGGCGGACGGGUGAGUAAUGCUUAGGAAUCUGCCUAUUAGUGGGGGACAACAUCUCGAAAGGGAUGCUAAUACCGCAUACGUCCUACGGGAGAAAGCAGGGGAUCUUCGGACCUUGCGCUAAUAGAUGAGCCUAAGUCGGAUUAGCUAGUUGGUGGGGUAAAGGCCUACCAAGGCGACGAUCUGUAGCGGGUCUGAGAGGAUGAUCCGCCACACUGGGACUGAGACACGGCCCAGACUCCUACGGGAGGCAGCAGUGGGGAAUAUUGGACAAUGGGGGGAACCCUGAUCCAGCCAUGCCGCGUGUGUGAAGAAGGCCUUAUGGUUGUAAAGCACUUUAAGCGAGGAGGAGGCUACUCUAGUUAAUACCUAGGGAUAGUGGACGUUACUCGCAGAAUAAGCACCGGCUAACUCUGUGCCAGCAGCCGCCGUAA